CCUACGGGUGGCAGCAGUGGGGAAUAUUGCACAAUGGGGGAAACCCUGAUGCAGCGACGCCGCGGGAAGGAAGAAGGAGUUCGGGAGGUAAACUUCUAGCAGCAGGGAAGAAAAUGACGGUACCUGACUAAGAAGCCCCGGCUAACGACGUGCCAGCAGCCGCGGUAAUACGGAGGGGGCAAGCGUUCUCCGGAUUUACUGGGUGUAAAGGGAGCGUAGGCGGUUUAGCAAGUCAGAAGUGAAAGCCAGGGGCUCAACUCCGGGACUGCUUUUGAAACUGUUGAACUAGAUUGCAGGAUAGGUCAGUGGCAUUCCUUGUGUAGCGGUGUAAUGCGUAGCUAUUAGGAG
Molecule: ribosomal RNA, 348 nt
Filed under: uncultured bacterium
Lineage: Bacteria
Description: partial 16S ribosomal RNA
Rfam family: Bacterial small subunit ribosomal RNA
Source: RNAcentral